RNAcentral lists this ribosomal RNA (474 nucleotides) under Stenotrophomonas sp. ZoB4. RNAcentral describes it as "bacterial SSU rRNA". It matches the Rfam family "Bacterial small subunit ribosomal RNA", at positions 348 to 815 of the family's 1533-position model. Lineage: Bacteria; Pseudomonadati; Pseudomonadota; Gammaproteobacteria; Lysobacterales; Lysobacteraceae. The record is from RNAcentral.
GCAGCAGUGGGGAAUAUUGGACAAUGGGCGCAAGCCUGAUCCAGCCAUACCGCGUGGGUGAAGAAGGCCUUCGGGUUGUAAAGCCCUUUUGUUGGGAAAGAAAUCCAUCUGGUUAAUACCCGGGUGGGAUGACGGUACCCAAAGAAUAAGCACCGGCUAACUUCGUGCCAGCAGCCGCGGUAAUACGAAGGGUGCAAGCGUUACUCGGAAUUACUGGGCGUAAAGCGUGCGUAGGUGGUCGUUUAAGUCCGUUGUGAAAGCCCUGGGCUCAACCUGGGAACUGCAGUGGAUACUGGGCGACUAGAAUGUGGUAGAGGGUAGCGGAAUUCCUGGUGUAGCAGUGAAAUGCGUAGAGAUCAGGAGGAACAUCCAUGGCGAAGGCAGCUACCUGGACCAACAUUGACACUGAGGCACGAAAGCGUGGGAGAGCAACAGGAUUAGAUACCUGGUAGUCCACGCCCUAAACGAUGCGAA